ACCAUGGCAGACAAGUCUGGUUGAUGGACGCAGACUUUCAGAACUCUUCAUCAACAAGACUCGAUGAAGGGUGAUAUUAAAACUCUAUUCUGAGAUUACAAAAGAAUGUGGAAAUCAGAAUUAGGAGUUUUAAAGAAAGAGGUGGAGAAUCUCUCUGGUAGGAUACUUACGUUGAUGAAAACAGUGAGGCUAACUAAACGGUAUUGAUAUCACACGGUACUAAAUCAGAUAAAAUUCUGCAAGAUGCCGCAGACAGUUUGAGUAGCCUGUAGUAUACUGUUAAAACACAUAGACCUUUACGGAAUGUCUUUACAGAUAUUGCAUUUUCCUACAAAAAUGUGCCCAUUUGUCGUACGGUUUUAUUCUACAGCCUUUUACAGGCAAGUUAUAGCAGUAUUAAUUAUUAGAUGUCUGGGUAGACAUUCUUCAUCAUAUAAUGUGUUUUUUAUUAGUAGCAGCACAACUACUCAUAAAACUUCCAUUAUUUUCCUGUACGUGGCAGUUAUAAAACCAAUAU
Pelobates cultripes (western spadefoot toad) is the source of this 517-nucleotide non-coding RNA. NCBI's taxonomy places the organism in Eukaryota, Metazoa, Chordata, Amphibia, Anura, Pelobatidae. The record is from the annotation of a GenBank genome assembly.